This 422-nucleotide ribosomal RNA is filed under the name uncultured bacterium. Its description in RNAcentral is "bacterial SSU rRNA". It matches the Rfam family "Bacterial small subunit ribosomal RNA", at positions 355 to 774 of the family's 1533-position model. The record is from RNAcentral.
UAAGGAAUAUUGGACAAUGGAGGCAACUCUGAUCCAGCCAUGCCGCGUGAAGGAAUAAGGCCCUAUGGGUUGUAAACUUCUUUUAGACGGGACAAAACCCCUUUACGUGUAAAGGGUUGAUGGUACUGUCAGAAUAAGCAUCGGCUAACUUCGUGCCAGCAGCCGCGGUAAUACGAAGGAUGCAAGCGUUAUCCGGAAUUAUUGGGUUUAAAGGGUGCGUAGGCGGACUAAUAAGUCAGUGGUGAAAGCCCGCAGCUUAACUGCAGAAUUGCCAUUGAUACUGUUAGUCUUGAGUACAGUUGAGGUAGGCGGAAUGUGUCAUGUAGCGGUGAAAUGCUUAGAUAUGACACAGAACACCGAUUGCGAAGGCAGCUUGCUAAGCUGUAACUGACGCUGAGGCACGAAAGCGUGGGGAGCAAACA